UUUUGCAUAUCAAAAAGCGGAGGAAAAGAAACCAACAGGGAUUGCCUCAGUAACGGCGAGUGAAGCGGCAACAGCUCAAAUUUGAAAUCUGGCCUCUUUGGGGUCCGAGUUGUAAUUUGUAGAGGAUGUUUCGGGUACCGCCUCGGUUUAAAUUUCUUGGAACAGAAUGUCAGAGAGGGUGAGAAUCCCGUCUUGGACCGGCGGUAGGGCCCAUGUGAAACUCCUUCGACGAGUCGAGUUGUUUGGGAAUGCAGCUCAAAAUGGGUGGUAAAUUUCAUCUAAAGCUAAAUAUUGGCCAGAGACCGAUAGCGCACAAGUAGAGUGAUCGAAAGAUGAAAAGAACUUUGAAAAGAGAGUUAAACAGUAUGUGAAAUUGUUGAAAGGGAAGCGCUUGCAACCAGACUUGAGCGCGGCGGUUCCCCCUUCCUUUUGGUUGGGUUACUCCGCCGUGUCCAGGCCAACAUCGGUUCUGGGGGUCGGUUAAAGGCCCGGGGAAUGUACCUACUCCUUCGGGGGUAGACUUAUAGCCCCGGGUGUCAUGCGACCACCCGGGACCGAGGAACGCGCUUCGGCUCGGAUGUUGGCGUAAUGGUUGUCAGCGACCCGUCUUGAACCACGGACCAAAA
Molecule: ribosomal RNA, 626 nt
Filed under: Exophiala spinifera
Lineage: Eukaryota; Fungi; Ascomycota; Eurotiomycetes; Chaetothyriales; Herpotrichiellaceae
Description: LSU rRNA
Rfam family: Eukaryotic large subunit ribosomal RNA
Source: RNAcentral